Non-coding RNA from Astyanax mexicanus (Mexican tetra), 83 nucleotides. Lineage: Eukaryota; Metazoa; Chordata; Actinopteri; Characiformes; Acestrorhamphidae. The record is from the annotation of a RefSeq genome assembly.
ACCAGGAUGGCCGAGUGGUUAAGGCGUUGGACUUAAGAAUCAAUGGGCAAAUUCCCGCAUGGGUUCGAACCCCACUCCUGGUA